CCAGACUCCUACGGGAGGCAGCAGUAGGGAAUUUUCGGCAAUGGGGGGAACCCUGACCGAGCAACGCCGCGUGAACGAAGAAGUUAUUCGUAAUGUAAAGUUCUUUUAUCAGGGAAGAAAGAGGAAUUUGACGGUACCUGCAAAGGAAGCACCGGCUAACUCCGUGCCAGCAGCCGCGGUAAUACGGAGGGGGCGAGCGUUAAUCGGAAUUACUGGGCGUAAAGCGCUCGUAGGCGGUAUGUCAAGUCAAGGGUGAAAUCCCCGCGCUCAACGUUGGAACUGCCUUUGAAACCGGCAAACUGGAGUGUGUGAGAGGAUAGUGGAAUUCCUGGUGUAGGAGUGAAAUCCGUAGAUAUCUGGCGGAACAUCAGUGGCGAAGGCGACUAUCUGGCACAUAACUGACGCUGAGGAGCGAAAGUGUGGGUAGCAAACAGGAUUAGAUACCCCUGUAG
RNAcentral lists this ribosomal RNA (452 nucleotides) under uncultured bacterium. RNAcentral describes it as "bacterial SSU rRNA". It matches the Rfam family "Bacterial small subunit ribosomal RNA", at positions 331 to 793 of the family's 1533-position model. The record is from RNAcentral.